Xiphias gladius (swordfish) is the source of this 1057-nucleotide long non-coding RNA. RefSeq lists it as uncharacterized. NCBI's taxonomy places the organism in Eukaryota, Metazoa, Chordata, Actinopteri, Istiophoriformes, Xiphiidae. The record is from RefSeq and is a predicted model, not a curated record. The transcript has 3 exons.
GCCCGCCCACUCCCGAGCGUCGCGCGUACCACGUGACGCGAGUGAAAAGUUUGGGUCGGGAAGUUGGAGGAGAACCGUCCGGUCCCUGCCGGUCGUCAGAAAGCAUGCAGGAGGCUCGGGCCGGGCUGCUGCAGGCUUUCCACUUCCACAAAAAAAAAAAAAAAAAAAAACACACACCAAACCUGCCGUGCAGACUCAGAGCGGGAGAGAAAAACCCUCCAGAUCAGCUGACAACAGUGAGUUUGGCUGCAGCCGGAGGGAAAAGUGCAGCUCAGCAGGAAGGUGAAGAUGGGACAGAGGAAAACACAUGGACCAGGACAACACUGCAAAAUAGACUUCACUGUCUGACAGGACUGAUCCAUCAGGGAGGGUUGCCUGAGCACUGUAGGUCUGUUUUCAGCUCCAGCUCUACCUCGGUUACCCACAGUGACACCAUGGACCAGCCACAGCCUUCAAGGUCACCUCCACGGGAGCUGCCGAGCAAUGGGACACCACCAUCACUGCCUCUUCUCUCCAUCAUCUCCCAGUCGGGAAGGUUUUGUGAGAAUUUUUUUAGACAUUCAUAUUUUCACAUGUCCAGUUCAGCUGCAGUAAUGAUUUGUUUAAUUCAUUACAAACCGUGCAAAUGUUACCCGACCUUUUUCUGGUAGAAUACGGGACUCUAUAGGCCAACAUUAAGGGGCUAACUGAUGUAGCGAGAUGUGUAAUGGUUGUAGUUCUCAGUGGAAGGGUUUAUCUGCUAAAUCCCAGCAGUUGGCCCUGCUAUCGUGGACAUUGACCCUAAAUAAUGUCAACAGCUCAUUUCCACCAGAGCUGGGCCCAUGUGCUUGUGUGUGUGUGUUGGGGAUAGGGAGGCGUAUAUAAGCUGCUGGUGGUGCAGCUCAAAAGCAGGUUGAUGUGACUGAUACAAGGCCAUUUCUGCUCCACUCACCACAUUACGUCGGACAAAGCAGCGGCUCAAGAUUUGAUUUGAAGAUGCUGAGUCAAGGAAUUUUUUUCUGUUAAUCUGAGUUAAAUCUUCAUGUAUCUUACACCUGUUACUAAUGUUUAAACUUUA